CCAGGGCGUAGACGAGGGGAACGCUCAGCAGGCUCACGGCCAGCCAGGACAGCAGCGAGGCCGGGCCGGCGAUCCGGGCGGCGUGCCCGGGG
RNAcentral lists this transfer RNA (92 nucleotides) under Longispora fulva. RNAcentral's name for it is "tRNA-Val". Lineage: Bacteria; Bacillati; Actinomycetota; Actinomycetes; Micromonosporales; Micromonosporaceae. The record is from RNAcentral.